CUGGGAGUUUGCAUGGGAAUCAUGAAAUCUUGUCUUUCUCUUUUGAAAUGUUUUGGAAGGAGAGUUAAGAAUAGCUCCGAAACUGGUCUUGUUGUUUUUGUGGGAAGAAUGACCAGAAGCAUAAAAGCUGCAUUUUCCAGUGAGUGCAGGACACCUCUUUUGGUGUUUGCAAUAAACCUAACAGAAUGAACUGCUAUCUAAAAGUACUGUGCCAUGACACCUAAAAUGAAGGGAAUGGGAAAGCAAAGUAAUGGCUCAAAGGCUGCUACCGAGAGCUUUUGUCUACCUUUAACUCAUUGUGCUUCCUUCUUAACAUAAGCAAAGUUGGACAUUCCAAAGAUGGCGUAGAUGAACAUGACCAGGAAGAGCAGGAGGCCGAUGUUAAACAAGGCGGGAAGGGACAUCAUCAGAGCAAAGAGCAGCGUGCGGAUCCCCUUCGCCCCUUUGAUCAGACGCAAGAUUCGACCAAUCCUGGCGAGACGGAUCACUCGGAACAAGGUAUCCAGGAGAGCCUUCAGGCCAGUGUUAAGAGAACUACUUAUGAGCAGAAGCUGAAUGCCAUACCAUGUCAAGAACUUACCAGAAGAAGCUAGGAAAACACUGGGAAGAGAACUCUGAAUUAGAGCUCCUGAGAUACCUAAUCCAGAGUCUGAUGCCAAGCUGACAGACUAAACCAAGUCAACAUGGUGGCUUUGAAAAUUGAAGUCAGUGAGUCAUGGAAGAACAUCUUAUCCCAAUUUUCUUCUUUGAAUUUUCAAUGUGUGAACAUGCGACUACGUACCACUAGGUUUCCAAUGACCAUGACCAUCAUGUAGACUAUAAGGCACAUGGCUUGACCAGCGACCUCCAUACAGUCCCACAUGGUUUCUAUCCACUCUCCACAUAGCACGCGGAAGACAAUCAGGAAGGAGUGGAAGAAAUCAUUCAUGUGCCAGCGUGGGAGUGUACAGUCUUCAUUGAUCUUGCAGACACAUUCUUUGUAGCUUUUACCAAAGAGCUGCAUGCCAACCACAGCAAAAAUGAAGACGAUGAUGGCCAACACCAAGGUAACAGAAUUACAUGGAGACUGUAAUGGAUGUUUCUUAUUACCAAGGAAGAUCUCAUGAAUUGCUCUGAGUGGAUGAGGAUAAAUGACUCAGCGUGAAAAGGACGACGGAGACUGGUGGGCACUGUAGCAAAAUGGAGAAUGUAAGCUCCAUCUGAAAGAGGUGACCACUGUUCAGCUCUAAAGGAUUGUUGCCAUGCAGGAAUAUGAGCUCAGUCUUACCAGGUGCACUCAUUUUUGUGUGAAAAUGUCUUGCUUUUAAAUCUUGGCAACUAAUUCAAAGUUUAAACACUAUGCUGGUUCAGUGCAGGCCAACAACACACACACACACAUACACAUAUACACACAAACAACUAUACAAUUCUACAUGUAUCACCUAUCUAUCUGUUUAGGUGUGGUAUAUGUGGUAUUUACGUAUGUAUAGAUACACACACACCACUUCACAAACAUGUAAAUAUAGCUCUAGAGUUUUAAAGUUGUAUAGUUGUUUAGAUAUACUUAUAUGUGUGUGUAUAUCAAAAUAUGGACACAUGGGCAUAAAUGUAUGCAUGUGUGUCUAUCUGUAUGUGUAUGUGCGCAGACAUCCACACACACAUAUCUGUAGCUGGCUUUUUAUGGAGAUCUUUCUAUUUGAUACAGUCUCUAAUCUACUGACUUUCAAGAAAUGGCAAUUUUUCUACAAGUCAAACAAGAAUAACACAUUCUUUUUCAUGUAGACACGUUUUAGUUGUCAAGGUUAUAUUAUCUGUCAUGCAAUUUUUUUCAUCUAAACUGUAUGUUUUGCCACACUAUCAUGUUUAUUGCAUUUCUGUUGAAUCUUAGAGUAUACUCUAGAUUUUUCUACGGUAAAAGUAAAGUCUUAAGUGAAAAUGUUUCAUUUAAAAAUAUGAAAUAAUAUCCAAAUCUGAUAUAAAUUAUAUGUUUCACAGAUAGUACAUCACUGAAAAGCAAAACACAGCAAAGAUCUGAUUCCAUAGAAUUUAGCAUGCUCAUUUGACAAGGAAAAAUAUCUUGGCCAAAGGCCCAAAGCUGGAUCAUGCAAGCACAGAGGUCACUUGUUACCUAAAAAGCACAUGCAGUCAUUCCAAAUGAAAUAUGUAUGUGGCCAUGACUUUGAUGGAACUUUAUUCUCACUAAAAAUAUAUUGUCUGAAAAUGUGAAUAUAUGAAUACCUAGCAUGAGUUCAAAGCUUGUUAGGUCAGUCAGAGCCACUACUGAUCUUUAGUAAUGCAAUGUAACAGUGACUGGCCUAAAGAGGUAACCUAGAAACUCCAGAAACCAGAAAGAUCUCACUUUCCAGCCUAAUUAGACACUUUCUCUACUGACUUAAUUACUCCUAAACCCUUGAAAUUGUUGCCUUGGAAUCGUUGUUUUGUUUUUGCUUUUAUGUGUGUAUGUUUGUAUUAGUGUAUAUAGUUUGGCUAUUAUAUUUUUAUUGGUAGACUCCAGACCACAGAGUUUUUGUUUUUGUUUUUAUCUUAUUUGAAUGAAAAAAGUUUCAUUUAUGUAUGGGGAAAAGCAUAGCUAUUGUAAAUUAUUUCUAAGUUUCAGGGCACCUGGGUGGCUCAGUUGGUUAAAUGCCCAACUUCAGCACAGGUCAUGAUCUCACAGUUUGUGGGUUUGAGCCCCACGGU
This is a long non-coding RNA of Felis catus (domestic cat), 2679 nucleotides long. RefSeq lists it as uncharacterized. Lineage: Eukaryota; Metazoa; Chordata; Mammalia; Carnivora; Felidae. The transcript has 6 exons. The record is from RefSeq and is a predicted model, not a curated record.